GAUGAACGCUGGCGGCGUGCCUAAUACAUGCAAGUCGAGCGAACAGACGAGGAGCUUGCUCCUCUGACGUUAGCGGCGGACGGGUGAGUAACACGUGGAUAACCUACCUAUAAGACUGGGAUAACUUCGGGAAACCGGAGCUAAUACCGGAUAAUAUAUUGAACCGCAUGGUUCAAUAGUGAAAGACGGUUUUGCUGUCACUUAUAGAUGGAUCCCCGCCGCAUUAGCUAGUUGGUAAGGUAACGGCUUACCAAGGCGACGAUGCGUAGCCGACCUGAGAGGGUGAUCGGCCACACUGGAACUGAGACACGGUCCAGACUCCUACGGGAGGCAGCAGUAGGGAAUCUUCCGCAAUGGGCGAAAGCCUGACGGAACAACGCCGCGUGAGUGAUGAAGGUCUUCGGAUCGUAAAACUCUGUUAUUAGGGAAGAACAAAUGUGUAAGUAACUAUGCACGUCUUGACGGUACCUAAUCAGAAAGCCACGGCUAACUACGUG
This 497-nucleotide ribosomal RNA is filed under the name uncultured bacterium. Its description in RNAcentral is "partial 16S ribosomal RNA". It matches the Rfam family "Bacterial small subunit ribosomal RNA", at positions 28 to 507 of the family's 1533-position model. The record is from RNAcentral.